This 257-nucleotide ribosomal RNA is filed under the name uncultured Methanosaeta sp. Its description in RNAcentral is "partial 16S ribosomal RNA". It matches the Rfam family "Archaeal small subunit ribosomal RNA", at positions 1083 to 1338 of the family's 1478-position model. The record is from RNAcentral. Lineage: Archaea; Methanobacteriati; Methanobacteriota; Methanomicrobia; Methanotrichales; Methanotrichaceae.
AGUGACGGGUACACUGUGGGGACCGCCGCUGCUAAAGCGGAGGAAGGAAUGGGCAACGGUAGGUCAGUAUGCCCCCGAAUAUCCCGGGCUACACGCGAGCUACAAUGGUUGGUACAAUGGGUAUCUACCCCGAAAGGGGACGGGAAUCUCCUAAAACCAAUCUUAGUUCGGAUUGAGGGCUGCAACUCGCCCUCAUGAAGCUGGAAUCCGUAGUAAUCGCGUUUCAACAGAACGCGGUGAAUACGUCCCUGCUCCUU